GCCGUCGCGACGGCAGGGCUCCACGCCCCGCACACUCAACGCGCCGGCGCCGGCGCCGGGCCGCGGCUGCUCGUCUUCCUCAGCCCCUCCCGACAACGGAGGAGGGAAUCCUUUUGACUUUUCUCCGAGAGCAGUUGAGAGGCUUGGUCCUCAGGGACCAGACAGCAAAGAGAAAAGUCCUGCCCGGGACUUUUUCAGGAGCUUUAGCAUGCGGAGGCGGUCAGCGAAACAGAAGGCCUCCAGCGCGGAGGCCGAGCCGGCGUCGUAUGACCCUAACGCUCCCUCCAGUCCCGUGCACAAUCGCCGACUGCUCUCGGCCAAGGCUAUGCGGAUGUCGUCUCUGG
This is a long non-coding RNA of Pollicipes pollicipes, 344 nucleotides long. RefSeq lists it as uncharacterized. Lineage: Eukaryota; Metazoa; Arthropoda; Thecostraca; Pollicipedomorpha; Pollicipedidae. The transcript has 3 exons. The record is from RefSeq and is a predicted model, not a curated record.